RNAcentral lists this ribosomal RNA (253 nucleotides) under uncultured bacterium. RNAcentral describes it as "partial 16S ribosomal RNA". It matches the Rfam family "Bacterial small subunit ribosomal RNA", at positions 524 to 776 of the family's 1533-position model. The record is from RNAcentral.
UACGUAGGUGGCGAGCGUUGUCCGGAAUUACUGGGUGUAAAGGGCGUGUAGGCGGGAAUGCAAGUCAGAUGUGAAAUACCGUGGCUUAACCACGGGGCUGCAUCUGAAACUGUAUUUCUUGAGUGUCGGAGAGGAAAGUGGAAUUCCCAGUGUAGCGGUGAAAUGCGUAGAUAUUGGGAGGAACACCAGUGGCGAAGGCGACUUUCUGGACGAUAACUGACGCUGAGGCGCGAAAGCGUGGGGAGCAUACAGG